Molecule: ribosomal RNA, 2683 nt
Filed under: Escherichia coli
Lineage: Bacteria; Pseudomonadati; Pseudomonadota; Gammaproteobacteria; Enterobacterales; Enterobacteriaceae
Description: partial 23S ribosomal RNA
Rfam family: Bacterial large subunit ribosomal RNA
Source: RNAcentral
GGGUUGUGAGGUUAAGCGACUAAGCGUACACGGUGGAUGCCCUGGCAGUCAGAGGCGAUGAAGGACGUGCUAAUCUGCGAUAAGCGUCGGUAAGGUGAUAUGAACCGUUAUAACCGGCGAUUUCCGAAUGGGGAAACCCAGUGUGUUUCGACACACUAUCAUUAACUGAAUCCAUAGGUUAAUGAGGCGAACCGGGGGAACUGAAACAUCUAAGUACCCCGAGGAAAAGAAAUCAACCGAGAUUCCCCCAGUAGCGGCGAGCGAACGGGGAGCAGCCCAGAGCCUGAAUCAGUGUGUGUGUUAGUGGAAGCGUCUGGAAAGGCGCGCGAUACAGGGUGACAGCCCCGUACACAAAAAUGCACAUGCUGUGAGCUCGAUGAGUAGGGCGGGACACGUGGUAUCCUGUCUGAAUAUGGGGGGACCAUCCUCCAAGGCUAAAUACUCCUGACUGACCGAUAGUGAACCAGUACCGUGAGGGAAAGGCGAAAAGAACCCCGGCGAGGGGAGUGAAAAAGAACCUGAAACCGUGUACGUACAAGCAGUGGGAGCACGCUUAGGCGUGUGACUGCGUACCUUUUGUAUAAUGGGUCAGCGACUUAUAUUCUGUAGCAAGGUUAACCGAAUAGGGGAGCCGAAGGGAAACCGAGUCUUAACUGGGCGUUAAGUUGCAGGGUAUAGACCCGAAACCCGGUGAUCUAGCCAUGGGCAGGUUGAAGGUUGGGUAACACUAACUGGAGGACCGAACCGACUAAUGUUGAAAAAUUAGCGGAUGACUUGUGGCUGGGGGUGAAAGGCCAAUCAAACCGGGAGAUAGCUGGUUCUCCCCGAAAGCUAUUUAGGUAGCGCCUCGUGAAUUCAUCUCCGGGGGUAGAGCACUGUUUCGGCAAGGGGGUCAUCCCGACUUACCAACCCGAUGCAAACUGCGAAUACCGGAGAAUGUUAUCACGGGAGACACACGGCGGGUGCUAACGUCCGUCGUGAAGAGGGAAACAACCCAGACCGCCAGCUAAGGUCCCAAAGUCAUGGUUAAGUGGGAAACGAUGUGGGAAGGCCCAGACAGCCAGGAUGUUGGCUUAGAAGCAGCCAUCAUUUAAAGAAAGCGUAAUAGCUCACUGGUCGAGUCGGCCUGCGCGGAAGAUGUAACGGGGCUAAACCAUGCACCGAAGCUGCGGCAGCGACACUAUGUGUUGUUGGGUAGGGGAGCGUUCUGUAAGCCUGCGAAGGUGUGCUGUGAGGCAUGCUGGAGGUAUCAGAAGUGCGAAUGCUGACAUAAGUAACGAUAAAGCGGGUGAAAAGCCCGCUCGCCGGAAGACCAAGGGUUCCUGUCCAACGUUAAUCGGGGCAGGGUGAGUCGACCCCUAAGGCGAGGCCGAAAGGCGUAGUCGAUGGGAAACAGGUUAAUAUUCCUGUACUUGGUGUUACUGCGAAGGGGGGACGGAGAAGGCUAUGUUGGCCGGGCGACGGUUGUCCCGGUUUAAGCGUGUAGGCUGGUUUUCCAGGCAAAUCCGGAAAAUCAAGGCUGAGGCGUGAUGACGAGGCACUACGGUGCUGAAGCAACAAAUGCCCUGCUUCCAGGAAAAGCCUCUAAGCAUCAGGUAACAUCAAAUCGUACCCCAAACCGACACAGGUGGUCAGGUAGAGAAUACCAAGGCGCUUGAGAGAACUCGGGUGAAGGAACUAGGCAAAAUGGUGCCGUAACUUCGGGAGAAGGCACGCUGAUAUGUAGGUGAAGUCCCUCGCGGAUGGAGCUGAAAUCAGUCGAAGAUACCAGCUGGCUGCAACUGUUUAUUAAAAACACAGCACUGUGCAAACACGAAAGUGGACGUAUACGGUGUGACGCCUGCCCGGUGCCGGAAGGUUAAUUGAUGGGGUCAGCGCAAGCGAAGCUCUUGAUCGAAGCCCCGGUAAACGGCGGCCGUAACUAUAACGGUCCUAAGGUAGCGAAAUUCCUUGUCGGGUAAGUUCCGACCUGCACGAAUGGCGUAAUGAUGGCCAGGCUGUCUCCACCCGAGACUCAGUGAAAUUGAACUCGCUGUGAAGAUGCAGUGUACCCGCGGCAAGACGGAAAGACCCCGUGAACCUUUACUAUAGCUUGACACUGAACAUUGAGCCUUGAUGUGUAGGAUAGGUGGGAGGCUUUGAAGUGUGGACGCCAGUCUGCAUGGAGCCGACCUUGAAAUACCACCCUUUAAUGUUUGAUGUUCUAACGUUGACCCGUGAUCCGGGUUGCGGACAGUGUCUGGUGGGUAGUUUGACUGGGGCGGUCUCCUCCUAAAGAGUAACGGAGGAGCACGAAGGUUGGCUAAUCCUGGUCGGACAUCAGGAGGUUAGUGCAAUGGCAUAAGCCAGCUUGACUGCGAGCGUGACGGCGCGAGCAGGUGCGAAAGCAGGUCAUAGUGAUCCGGUGGUUCUGAAUGGAAGGGCCAUCGCUCAACGGAUAAAAGGUACUCCGGGGAUAACAGGCUGAUACCGCCCAAGAGUUCAUAUCGACGGCGGUGUUUGGCACCUCGAUGUCGGCUCAUCACAUCCUGGGGCUGAAGUAGGUCCCAAGGGUAUGGCUGUUCGCCAUUUAAAGUGGUACGCGAGCUGGGUUUAGAACGUCGUGAGACAGUUCGGUCCCUAUCUGCCGUGGGCGCUGGAGAACUGAGGGGGGCUGCUCCUAGUACGAGAGGACCGGAGUGGA